UGCAGUCGGACGACAGGCGAGGAAUCCGCAAGGAGGAAUCGUGCUGAGUGGCGAACGGGUGAGUAAGGCAUGGGGACGUACCCUCAAGAGGGGGAUAGCAUUCCGAAAGGGAUGGUAAUACCCCGUAAGCUCGAGAGAGGGAAGGUGCAACAGCACCGCUUGAGGAGCGACUCAUGGCCCAUCAGUUAGUUGGUGAGGUAAAGGCCCACCAAGGCUAUGACGGGUAGCUGGUCUGAGAGGAUGGUCAGCCACACUGGGACUGAGACACGGCCCAGACUCAUACGGGAGGCAGCAGUGGGGAAUUUUUCCCAAUGGGCGAAAGCCUGAGGGAGCGACGCCGCGUGGAGGAAGGAGUCUUUCGAGAUGUAAACUCCUGUUGUAAGGGAGCAAGGGUAUAUGUAGUGGAAAGGCAUAUACUCGGAUAGUACCUUACGAGGAAGCCCCGGCUAACUACGUGCCAGCAGCCGCGGUAAUACGUAGGGGGCGAGCGUUGUCCGGAGUUACUGGGCGUAAAGGGUGCGUAGGUGGCCGAUAAAGUCAAUUGUGAAAUUCCACGGCUCAACUGUGGGAGUGCGGUUGAAACUAAUCGGCUUGAGGUCAGGUCAGGAAGAUGGAAUUGUCAGUGUAGGGGUGAAAUCCGUAGAUAUUGGCAAGAACGCCGGUGGUGAAGACGGUCUUCUGGGCUGAUACUGACACUGAGGCACGAAAGCUAGGGGAGCGAACGGGAUUAGAUACCCCGGUAGUCCUAGCCGUAAACGAUGUUCACUGAGUAUGGGAGGCGUUAGCCAUCCGUGCUGAAGCAAACGCGUUAAGUGAACCGCC
RNAcentral lists this ribosomal RNA (822 nucleotides) under uncultured bacterium. RNAcentral describes it as "bacterial SSU rRNA". It matches the Rfam family "Bacterial small subunit ribosomal RNA", at positions 56 to 873 of the family's 1533-position model. The record is from RNAcentral.